AGUAAGUCAGGCAGUCGCGGUCAGACGGCGAAAGCCCCUGUCCGAGGAAAGUCCGGGCUUCACAGAGCGAGGAUAACGGCUAACGGCCGCCGAGGGUGACCUUAGGGAAAGUGCAACAGAAAAUAACCGCGAAUCGUCCUUUGACGACGCAAGGGUGGAAAGGCGAGGUAAGAGCUCACCAAGGCGGGGGAGACUCCGUCGUUGUGUAAACCCUAUCCGAAGCAACACCGCGGAGGGACAUACGGCCUGCUCGGCUGUCCCGUGGAGGUGGCACCGAGCCGCUGCGGCAACGCGCGGCCAAGAUAGAUGACUGCCUAAUACAGAACCCGGCUUACAGAUUUACUCA
This 346-nucleotide RNase P RNA is filed under the name uncultured Ruminococcus sp. Its description in RNAcentral is "Bacterial RNase P class A". It matches the Rfam family "Bacterial RNase P class A". From Rfam's summary of the family: Ribonuclease P (RNase P) is a ubiquitous endoribonuclease, found in archaea, bacteria and eukarya as well as chloroplasts and mitochondria. Its best characterised activity is the generation of mature 5'-ends of tRNAs by cleaving the 5'-leader elements of precursor-tRNAs. The record is from RNAcentral. Lineage: Bacteria; Bacillati; Bacillota; Clostridia; Eubacteriales; Oscillospiraceae.